GUGUGGGAGUGCUCUUGACCAUACCUGCCAGCCUUUGUAGCACUGCUUUGGUGGAUGUUUCACAUCUUGAAGCAUAGCUCCACUGCAGUUUGGGUGAAGGAGCAAGAGCAAGACUGCAGCUAGGCCCUACAAUACUUGAGAGACGUUGUCUGUGCUGGGAGGGGGAACAAACUUGCAGGAUGCUGUGAGUUUAACAUGUUAAUAGGUAUUUCAUGUAUGACCUACUGAGGCUCCUGGCCAGGUCCUGUGGCUCUUCUGCAGAGAAGGCUGCUGACUCCUUUCCAGCUCCUGAGGAAUGCCUGCCUGCAUAGUCCAAAAUCUUGCUCUGAAAUUUCACAGGACCAGCACAGGUAAAAUUCUCCCGUGUUGAAAACACUUAAGCAAGGAGGUCUUGAGAUACAGCCCUCUUCUCCCCAUCCUCAGACUUUCUUUGUCCAUAUCCUUGUUACCUGCCCCAAAAGACAAAUGAAGGGAACCAGCUCCACUUCUCUGAUCCUUUUCUCUUGGUGUGUUGAGAACCAGAUCUUUGUCCAAGGGAAGUCCAAAAAGGCUGCAGGAUGUCUUCAAAUUGAAAAGAAGAUGGGCUAAGGACUUUUGGCAUAGGAAUGAUGAAAAAUAUGGAUGGGAUCAUGCCACAGAAAAGUCUAAAAAAUGAGUUGAUCAAAUGGAUGAGCUUUCUUCACAGUGAAGGAGCCUCUAAGCAAGGGUUUUUGAGAGGUGUGUUGAGGGUCCCAGGGAAGAGCUCAGUAAGUUAAAUAUUGACAGCCCUAUUCAUUGCUUGACACUUACACUUUGCAGUGCUUACUGAUGUGGAAAGGUGGGACCUGUUGUGCUUGGUGCUGUACAGAGCAAGGAAAAUUGAAAAUUGCCUUUGCAAAGACCUUGAAGUUGUAAUGAAUAAGGAGUAUGCAAAUGUGCCUGUAGCUUCUGGAGCAAGGAGCUUCACUGUGAAGGAAUGAAGGUAAACAAGAACAGCUUUAAUUUGUUACAAUGAACUGAUGAGAUACUCUGGUGGGGUGAACGGUGAGAGUUCAUUUCAAAAGACAGAAGGUGUGGUGGUGCAGAGCUUUUGACUGUUGUAUAAACUGAUCAGGAUGUAGGCUCUACUGCUAAUCUGACAUUGCAGCAAGCAGUUUUUGGUUCCAGAAGUUAAGCAACUUCUCCUGUGGGGAUUAUUUAGGAGGUGGAGACCAGAGGGAGAUGUGCAGAUAACACUGCAUAUAAUGGCAUAUCUCACAUUUUUGAGUUCUUCAUGUUGGAGUAAGCAGUCAUUCAGUGGUGUUUGGUAAGAUUUUCAUCUCCCAGGGUUGCUGCUGAGCUUAAAGCAGCUUGAGAAAGAUAAUUGCACAGUGUGAAGGGAAGGAAAAAGUUCUGAGCAGGCAGCAAGACGAAAGUACAUGUCUCCUGCACAAUGGGGAGGGGGAAGAUAUUUCACCAGGAAAAGAAGGGUGAUGUGUGAGAAAUCUUUGUAGUUAGCUUGUGAGAACUGGAAUAGGAAGAAGCUAUGUGACCAGGGCAAGAAAAAAAGUCUGUGAUAAGUCCUCUGAACGUGUGAUAGCAAGAAAAGGCUAUAAAGAUGAAAAGACAAGAGUAACCAACAAAAUUAGAGGGACCAGGGUACUGGAAACUCACAGCAUAGAUAUCUUUACAAAUGUUUCCACCUGAAGAUGAGCAGUAGGAGUCUUUGGUACAUAACAGGCUGACAUCUUGUUGGAAGACAGAAGUUGCUAUAUGUAGUCUCUGGAUGUGGAGGAACCAUUGCUCAGGCAGAUGUGGCCUGGUAAGGGCAGAUAAUUUGAAUUGCAUAGCUGGUGGUACUGCCUCCAUGGUCUGAGUCUCCACAGAUUUUGAAACACAGGGUAUAGUCUUUGGCAUGAGUGAAUUACAAAAAUGGCACAUCUGAGGUAGUUACCAAUACUGACACAUGGCCUCGUGGUCUCCUUACUGUGAGUAAGGAGAGGCUAAUGAGCUCAUGUGUCUCUGUGACAGGUUGCUCUUGUUUCUUCCAGUGUAAAUCAUCGUGGUCUUUUAUUACCUCCAUUGUUGGUUUUGCCCAGUUGCUUAGAUUUGUUUUGUUCCCCUAGGCUUUGGUACUGUUGUCUGCAUCAUUUUCUGUCAGCAGCAGAUUUUGCCACUAAACAGUUCCCAAAAUCAAAAUCCAUAACCUUUCCAGGGAAGGGGCAGGAGGAGAAAGUCAGAUACAAUAUGUGCAUUUAAAAGCUAUGGUAGUAUGUGAGAAAACUUCCUGACAAAGCUACAUUAGGAGAAACAAAGAGAGAAGACUACAAACUAGCUUUUCUCCCAUGCCAAGAGACUUGCUAGCAAGUCACAGGUGGUCACAGCAGGAGCAUGGGAAGAGCAUGAUUAUGAUGGGAUGUGGUGACAGCUUGUGUGCACUUGCACAUUUCACCUGCUUGUUUUUUCCCAGCUGUUCUUAAAAUAUUUUACACAGCUUUCUAUUUUGUUCAGGUAGAGUGCAAAUUGGGAAUCACCAGAGUGCAAAGCCCACUUUGACUGCUUGACUGUGCUUUACUAAACCUCCUACUGUCCUUUACUUUGAACAUGGUCCCCCUAGGGGAAGCUGGCCUUGCUGCAGUAAUCCUUUCUCAUGGCACGGACCUACUGAAGUGACUCGUGAGGGUAUUCAGUGAAGAUCAACGAUCUGAGAGUGCUCCCUUCAAAUUGUAAAUACUCCAAACUGCUGGCUUGCUUCUUCUCAGGAGAAAGAAAACAGGUGUUUUUCACGUGAGAAAUGAGCUGGCAACUAACCUCUUAUUAGAGGACACUUGUUGCUUGUUGGAGCUGGUCACCUGAGAAUGAGAGCUGUGCUUGUGUGUUGGGCAGAAGCGUCUCUAGUUGCUCUGUUGGAUAUUCCACGAGGAGAGGAAGGAAUCUCCUUCAACUCUGCAUAUGGAUAUUCUGAAGCAUAAAAUGGAAUAAAGGCAUUUUGUCUUGAAUGCA
Molecule: long non-coding RNA, 2961 nt
Organism: Anser cygnoides (Swan goose)
Lineage: Eukaryota; Metazoa; Chordata; Aves; Anseriformes; Anatidae
Source: Ensembl